Molecule: long non-coding RNA, 378 nt
Filed under: Bos taurus (domestic cattle)
Lineage: Eukaryota; Metazoa; Chordata; Mammalia; Artiodactyla; Bovidae
Description: long non-coding RNA NONBTAT009455
Source: RNAcentral
UACCACUUAGGGAGAUAGCACUUAGAGAGGAAGAGUUUGGUCUUGCCUUUAAUGAAAGUGUAAGUAUGGGCUUGUCAAAACUGAUGUCCAGGAGAAUGUGAGCUCCAUGAGGUCAGGCACUUGGAUGCUGAAUCUACACAACCUUAACAUCAACUUUUGCUUGUAGGUGUGCUCAGCUCAUGUAUGUUAAAUAAACCAAAAGGGGGAAAUGUACACUAUAUGAAAAUUGUUUCAGAGGAGGAAACCUACCAAGUAAAAUUAAUUCAGGAAGUGAUCAUUUGUUGAAGUACAGAAAACCACUUGAUAUUAUAAUCUGAAGUAUUAAUAUGAUAUGAGCCUAUUGCAACUGGCUCCUUGCCUCCCACAGCCUCUGUUCUC